UGCUGAAUGAAAAGUCAGUUGCAGUAAGUCCACACAUAAAGAAAAUACCUGGAAUAUGUAGUUACUCAAAAUACAAUAUAAAAGGGAAAAAAACCCGAUAUUUUUCUUUCCAAGUCUCAGAAAAACACUAGAUGAGAUAUUCCUAUUUGUGUAAAAAGGUUUGGAGAAAUUUCUCCUUAACCCACACCACUGAAUCACCCUUAUGUCAGGCUCCAUCUGUAGAAUUCUUACUCAUGUAAAUAAUAUAGGGCUUGAAUUCAUGUUUUCUCCAGUGAUUUUUAAACCCUUGCAUUUCACUUGAAAAAGAGAAAAAGGGAAUCUCAGAAGCCUGGUUUUGCCAUUUCUAGCAGUGUGGAAAGGGGCAGACAUAGAAGGAGAGUAUUUUUUGAUUGAGAGAAUAUGUAAGGUUGCGAGAUGACAUGAAUUUCAGACUUUUAUCAGUAAAAUUAAAUGUGUCGUAUUUAACAUGUAUGAAGUCCUGCUGCCGAUAAGAAUAUUGGCUAUCCAAGAGAUUUGUCAAUUUUACAAUAAUAGAACUGCCAUAAAUGAGACCAUAAUUAAAACCUUGAGAAUUAUCUGUUUCUAAAUUAGUAAGUGUUGGAAUCAAGGAUCAGUUUCUCAAAAAUUUGCUCAUAUCUGAAGCAAAACAUGUUGCCUGCUCAUUUGUGCAGACAGAUACAAGCUACAUAAGGUAGUAACCGAUGCCAUUUAACCCAGCAGGGAUGAAACAGUUACUGAAAUUGAGAAAAAACUUUUCGUGAUUUCAUGGCCAUGCUAUCAAAAUAUCUGAACAGUCACUGUGUGCACCCAGACAGUGGCAUUUGGAGUGAAGAGGCAACUCCAUGUGCAGGCGUGUUGGCACAACCAAAACUGCGGCAUGGGGUCAGGAGCAAUUGUCUAGAAACAAAAGACUAAAAUUGGUUUUCUGGCUUAAAAGAAGAAAGGAUCCUAUCAGAGUAUGCAGGUAGGAAGGCUGUAUUAAACAGAUAUGUAAAUAAAAAAAAUAUAAAUAUAUGAUAUAAAUAAAGA
RNAcentral lists this long non-coding RNA (1029 nucleotides) under Chloebia gouldiae (Gouldian finch). Its description in RNAcentral is "Erythrura gouldiae (Gouldian finch) lncRNA (ENSEGOG00005013946.1)". The record is from RNAcentral. Lineage: Eukaryota; Metazoa; Chordata; Aves; Passeriformes; Passeridae.